UACGGAGGGUGCAAGCGUUAUCCGGAUUCACUGGGUUUAAAGGGUGCGUAGGUGGGCUGGUAAGUCAGUGGUGAAAUCUCCAGGCUUAACUUGGAAACUGCCAUUGAUACUAUCAGUCUUGAAUACCGUGGAGGUCAGCGGAAUAUGUCAUGUAGCGGUGAAAUGCUUAGAUAUGCCAUAGAACACCAAUUGCGAAGGCAGCUGGCUAGACCUGUAUUGACGCUGAGGCACGAAAGCGUGGGGAGCGAACAGG
RNAcentral lists this ribosomal RNA (253 nucleotides) under uncultured bacterium. RNAcentral describes it as "partial 16S ribosomal RNA". It matches the Rfam family "Bacterial small subunit ribosomal RNA", at positions 524 to 776 of the family's 1533-position model. The record is from RNAcentral.